UACGGAGGGUGCAAGCGUUGUCCGGAAUUAUUGGGCGUAAAGAGCUCGUAGGCGGUUUGUCGCGUCGAAUGUGAAAACCCGGGGCUCAACCCCGGGCCUGCAUUCGAUACGGGCAGACUAGAGUUCGGUAGGGGAGUCUGGAAUUCCUGGUGUAGCGGUGAAAUGCGCAGAUAUCAGGAGGAACACCGGUGGCGAAGGCGGGACUCUGGGCCAAUACUGACGCUCAUGCACGAAAGCGUGGGGAGCAAACAGG
This 253-nucleotide ribosomal RNA is filed under the name uncultured bacterium. RNAcentral's name for it is "partial 16S ribosomal RNA". It matches the Rfam family "Bacterial small subunit ribosomal RNA", at positions 524 to 776 of the family's 1533-position model. The record is from RNAcentral.